GAUGAACGCUGGCGGCGUGCCUAAUACAUGCAAGUCGAGCGAACGGACGAGAAGCUUGCUUCUCUGAUGUUAUCGGCGGACGGGUGAGUAACACGUGGAUAACCUACCUAUAAGACUGGGAUAACUUCGGGAAACCGGAGCUAAUACCGGAUAAUAUUUUGAACCGCAUGGUUCAAAAGUGAAAGACGGUCUUGCUGUCACUUAUAGAUGGAUCCGCGCUUCAUUAGCUAGUUGGUAAGGUAACGGCUUACCAAGGCAACGAUGCAUAGCCGACCUGAGAGGGUGAUCGGCCACACUGGAACUGAGACACGGUCCAGACUCCUACGGGAGGCAGCAGUAGGGAAUCUUCCGCAAUGGGCGAAAGCCUGACGGAGCAACGCCGCGUGAGUGAUGAAGGUCUUCGGAUCGUAAAACUCUGUUAUUAGGGAAGAACAUAUGUGUAAGUAACUGUGCACAUCUUGACGGUACCUAAUCAGAAAGCCACGGCUAACUACGUG
This 497-nucleotide ribosomal RNA is filed under the name uncultured bacterium. RNAcentral's name for it is "partial 16S ribosomal RNA". It matches the Rfam family "Bacterial small subunit ribosomal RNA", at positions 28 to 507 of the family's 1533-position model. The record is from RNAcentral.